CCGGAGCCAGCGGAGCGGGCGGAGCCGCCGUAGGCGGCGGAGGCGAUGGAUCCUUGACCUUGAUCGCCGGCGGCGGCACAAAUCCGCUGUCGAGGCCGAAGAGGAAGUCGGGACCGGCGGCUGCCACUGCUGGGGUAGGCUCCGGCUGCGCCGGAGCCGAAUUGAGGGCGUCGACGAACCACUGGCCGUCCGACUUCUGCUCCGGGGCCGACGGGGACACGGCGAGGGGGAAGAGGAAGAGGCGGAGGCGGGGGGCGGGUCUGGCGGCGGGGCGGAGGAGGCGAUCGUACUCGAGCAUCAUGUGAUCGAGGUCCUCGUCGUUGGUGAUGGAGAUGAGAGCGUCGAGGUCCUCGCCGGGGAGCUGGUACUUGAAGCAGACAUCAUCGGCGGCGGGGAGGAUGGCGGCGAGGCGGGCGGCGAAGGCGGGGAAACGGAUCGAGCGCUCGACGGCGAGGAUCUUCGUCUCGCCGCCGACGUAGGAGAGCUGGUUGUCGUGGUGGCGGGGCUGGAUGCGGCCGCCGUAACUGCACAUGAGCUUGACCUUGGCCGCGGCGGG
RNAcentral lists this unclassified non-coding RNA (556 nucleotides) under Hevea brasiliensis (rubber tree). The record is from RNAcentral. Lineage: Eukaryota; Viridiplantae; Streptophyta; Magnoliopsida; Malpighiales; Euphorbiaceae.